RNAcentral lists this unclassified non-coding RNA (269 nucleotides) under Hevea brasiliensis (rubber tree). The record is from RNAcentral. Lineage: Eukaryota; Viridiplantae; Streptophyta; Magnoliopsida; Malpighiales; Euphorbiaceae.
GUAUUGACGACUGUGACACAUGCCUCUCUUUUCUGCUUUGCUGCAUUGAACAGACUUUCUUGGAUACUCGUUAAUAUGCUCUCCACUUGUUUGGUCAAAUCACUCAUUGGUACAUCAGCUUUUACACCAUUGUCACGACGGACAAGUCUUGCCUGAUUAUUUGCUAUAUCUUUUGGUCCAAUUUCAAUUCUCAGUGGAACACCCUUCAUUUCCCAGUGAGAGUACUUCCAACCAGGAGAAUAGUUGUCUCUCAAGUCUUCCUCAGCCCU